ACGCCGCGUGAGUGAUGAAGGCUUUCGGGUCGUAAAGCUCUGUCGAGGGGAAAGAAAUGUAUUUGGGUUAAUACCCUGGAUACUUGACGGUACCCCUAAAGGAAGCACCGGCUAACUCCGUGCCAGCAGCCGCGGUAAUA
This 140-nucleotide ribosomal RNA is filed under the name uncultured bacterium. Its description in RNAcentral is "partial 16S ribosomal RNA". It matches the Rfam family "Bacterial small subunit ribosomal RNA", at positions 394 to 525 of the family's 1533-position model. The record is from RNAcentral.